AAGUCGUAACAAGGUUUCUGUAGGUGAACCUGCGGAAGGAUCAUUAACACGUAUCCAAACGUUAAAACCCCCCCCGUGAACCUUCAUCCUGCUCUUGUAACCCGCGUAGUUCGCAAUCUCUAAUAAAUCAUAGCCCGGAAAGUUGUAGUGAUUCAGCUCAAGCAGUCAGUGUCGGAAAAUGUCAUUGAUUGUGCAAGGAUAGCGCUUCUACGAUUCCUAAAGACCGUACACUCGGGCAGGAGUUUUGCCAAAGGGUCCCCAUGCCCCCUAAUAACCCCACAGUUUAAUGUGAAGCUCAAUGUAAUACAUUGGGUAAAAAAACCGAACAACUGUUAACAAUGGAUAUCUUGGUUAUC
RNAcentral lists this unclassified non-coding RNA (356 nucleotides) under fungal sp. Its description in RNAcentral is "partial internal transcribed spacer region". The stretch from base 1 to 46 matches the Rfam family "Eukaryotic small subunit ribosomal RNA", at positions 1786 to 1831 of the family's 1831-position model. Lineage: Eukaryota; Fungi. The record is from RNAcentral.